GGAUGUGGCGUUGCCCAGACAACUAGGAUGUUGGCUUAGAAGCAGCCAUCAUUUAAAGAGUGCGUAAUAGCUCACUAGUCGAGUGACACUGCGCCGAAAAUGUACCGGGGCUAAACAUAUUACCGAAGCUGUGGAUUGUCCUUUGGACAAUGGUAGGAGAGCGUUCUAAGGGCGUUGAAGCAUGAUCGUAAGGACAUGUGGAGCGCUUAGAAGUGAGAAUGCCGGUGUGAGUAGCGAAAGACGGGUGAGAAUCCCGUCCACCGAUUGACUAAGGUUUCCAGAGGAAGGCUCGUCCGCUCUGGGUUAGUCGGGUCCUAAGCUGAGGCCGACAGGCGUAGGCGAUGGAUAACAGGUUGAUAUUCCUGUACCACCUAUAAUCGUUUUAAUCGAUGGGGGGACGCAGUAGGAUAGGCGAAGCGUGCGAUUGGAUUGCACGUCUAAGCAGUAAGGCUGAGUAUUAGGCAAAUCCGGUACUCGUUAAGGCUGAGCUGUGAUGGGGAGAAGACAUUG
This 510-nucleotide ribosomal RNA is filed under the name Staphylococcus aureus. Its description in RNAcentral is "partial 23S ribosomal RNA". It matches the Rfam family "Bacterial large subunit ribosomal RNA", at positions 1071 to 1581 of the family's 2925-position model. Lineage: Bacteria; Bacillati; Bacillota; Bacilli; Caryophanales; Staphylococcaceae. The record is from RNAcentral.